GUUGUCUGCCCCCCAUCGGGUGCCAUGGUGCACCCUUGUCUGACCCCAUUGGGUGCCAUGGGGUGCCUUUGUCUGCCCUCCACGGGGUGCCCUCGUCUGCCCCCCACUGGGUGCCACGGGGUGCCCUUGUCUUAUCCCAUGGGGUGCCGUUGUCUGCCCCCCAUUGUGUGCCAUGGGUGCCCUUGUCUGACCCCCAUUGUGUGCCAUGGGUGCCCCUGUCUGCCCCCCAUUGUGUGCCAUGGGGGUGCCCUUGUCUGACCCCCAUUGUGUGCCAUGGGGGGCCCUCGUCUGACCCCCAUUGUGUGCCAUGGGUGCCCUCGUCUGACCCCCAUUGUGUGCCAUGGGUGCCCUUGUCUGACCCCCAUUGUGUGCCAUGGGUGCCCCUGUCUGACCCCGUGGGGUGCCCCUGUCUGCCCCCCAUUGUGUGCCAUGGGUGCCCCUGUCUGCCCCCCAUUGUGUGCCGUUGGGUGCCCUUGUCUGACCCCGUGGGGUGCCCCUGUCUGCCCCCCAUUGUGUGCCAUGGGUGCCCUUGUCCCCCCGGGGCUGAUGGGUCUCACCGUCCCGCCAGGCGCAAGCUGGUGCAGCUGCAGGUCGCGUAUCACCACCUGUUCCAGGAGUACGACGCCCACAUCAAGGCCAGCGUGGAGGGGGACAAGCGCAGCCAGGGUGCAGCGCAGCAGCUGGCGGAGGUGACACUGGGUGCCACCAGGUGCCACCGAUGCCAUCAAUGCCAUCCCGCAGGGCGCAGCACAGCAGCUGGCGGGG
This 765-nucleotide long non-coding RNA is filed under the name Chrysolophus pictus (golden pheasant). RNAcentral describes it as "lncRNA (ENSCPIG00010008119.1)". Lineage: Eukaryota; Metazoa; Chordata; Aves; Galliformes; Phasianidae. The record is from RNAcentral.